GACGAACGCUGGCGGCGUGCUUAACACAUGCAAGUCGAACGGUAAGGCCCUUCGGGGUACACGAGUGGCGAACGGGUGAGUAACACGUGGGUGAUCUGCCCUGCACUUCGGGAUAAGCCGGGGAGACUGGGUCUAAUACCGGAUAGGACUCCGGACUGCAUGGUCUGGGGUGGAAAGCUUUUGCGGUGUGGGAUGGGCCCGCGGCCUAUCAGCUUGUUGGUGGGGUGAUGGCCUACCAAGGCGACGACGGGUAGCCGGCCUGAGAGGGUGACCGGCCACACUGGGACUGAGAUACGGCCCAGACUCCUACGGGAGGCAGCAGUGGGGAAUAUUGCACAAUGGGCGCAAGCCUGAUGCAGCGACGCCGCGUGAGGGAUGACGGCCUUCGGGUUGUAAACCUCUUUCAGCAUCGACGAAGCGAAAGUGACGGUAGGUGCAGAAGAAGGACCGGCCAACUACGUGCCAGCCGCCGCGGUAA
Molecule: ribosomal RNA, 478 nt
Filed under: uncultured bacterium
Lineage: Bacteria
Description: partial 16S ribosomal RNA
Rfam family: Bacterial small subunit ribosomal RNA
Source: RNAcentral